GAUGAACGCUGGCGGCGUGCCUAAUACAUGCAAGUCGAGCGAACGGACGAGAAGCUUGCUUCUCUGAUGUUAGCGGCGGACGGGUGAGUAACACGUGGAUAACCUACCUAUAAGACUGGGAUAACUUCGGGAAACCGGAGCUAAUACCGUAUAAUAUUUUGAACCGCAUGGUUCAAAAGUGAAAGACGGUCUUGCUGUCACUUAUAGAUGGAUCCGCGCUGCAUUAGCUAGUUGGUAAGGUAACGGCUUACCAAGGCAACGAUGCAUAGCCGACCUGAGAGGGUGAUCGGCCACACUGGAACUGAGACACGGUCCAGACUCCUACGGGAGGCAGCAGUAGGGAAUCUUACGCAAUGGGCGAAAGCCUGACGGAGCAACGCCGCGUGAGUGAUGACGGUCUUCGGAUCGUAAAACUCUGUUAUUAGGGAAGAACAUAUGUGUAAGUAACUGUGCACAUCUUGACGGUACCUAAUAAGAAAGCCACGGCUAACUACGUG
This 497-nucleotide ribosomal RNA is filed under the name uncultured bacterium. Its description in RNAcentral is "partial 16S ribosomal RNA". It matches the Rfam family "Bacterial small subunit ribosomal RNA", at positions 28 to 507 of the family's 1533-position model. The record is from RNAcentral.